RNAcentral lists this transfer RNA (77 nucleotides) under Planctomycetota bacterium. RNAcentral describes it as "Planctomycetes bacterium tRNA-Arg". It matches the Rfam family "tRNA". From Rfam's summary of the family: Transfer RNA (tRNA) molecules are approximately 80 nucleotides in length. Their secondary structure includes four short double-helical elements and three loops (D, anti-codon, and T loops). The record is from RNAcentral. Lineage: Bacteria; Pseudomonadati; Planctomycetota.
GCGCCCGUAGCUCAGCUGGAUAGAGCAGCGGACUUCUAAUCCGCAGGUCGAAGGUUCGAAUCCUUCCGGGCGUGCCA